GCAGAACAUGUGCAGAGUCAGGGAAGCAGCUUAAAGCAAAGGGAGGAUGGUGGUGGGGACAAACCCACCUGCACGGACCACACCAAUCCGUCUGCUGGUUGAGGCCAAAGCGAGCACGGCAUUUCUUAGGCGAGCCAGGGUCUGCUCACAGCCAUGCCAGAGGGGCAGAGCAGGGCAGAGGGCGAGCAGGCAGGCAGCAGGGCAGAGCAGGGCCCAGAAAGAAGAGGGAACAUCAGUGUCAGCCAGUCACAGAUACCCCGUAGGCCCCUUAGGCAGAGGGCCUCUCCAUGGCACAGCCAGCCCCCAUGGGAGCCCCAGGACCCAGAGCCAGGUUAUCAGGAAAGGUGGGCAGCACCUAGCUAGGCAGGAGAGGCAGUGGGAAGAACAGUGGCAGGAGGGAGGGGAAUCCUAUCAGGUUAGCUCCUCUUUCUGGUUGCAGCACGGGAGCUAUGGGAGAGGGGCCCCGGGGAGGCCCUGAGGGCUGCCCACCCCACACAUUUCCCUGCCCACUUUAUCCAGCUUUUCUUCCUUUUUGCCAGUGCCUACUCUGCCUAACCCCACCCCCACCCCCGUAAGGUGUUUAAGCUGUAGCUUAAACCAGGUGGACAGUUAAGUCCAUACCUCAGAAAAAGGGCUGAGGAUUCUACCCUGCCUCAGUCCUAGCCUUGAGCUUCCCUGUGUGGGGGCAGGAUAGCGUGAGACAGUUGUGGAUGUGGAGUCUGAAUUCGACUAUCAGACUUGGGGCAUGAAUUCACCCAUGGGAAGGAGACUUGAAGCAGUGUGUGGCUUCCUUGAGUCCUCCUUACAGAGCACUCUGCACUGUCAAAAUAAAUGGAUCGGGUAGGGGCGCUGGUGACCGAGUAACAGCCAGGCACCAACUAGCAGGCAGCGUGACUUCUGGCCUAGGCAGGGCUGCACCUCCACCCCCAAAGCCUGCGCGCAGGUCACAGCAGAACAACAGGCUCAGUUUCUGUGGCAGAGGCUAGCGGGGAGCAGGGCUUGCAAAGGUGGGAAGCUGCAGUUAGGCAACACACCAAUGUUACACUAUUACAGGGACUUCCUAUAGCUGUUCCUCACAUGUGGGAUCAGACUUGUGAGAAGUGGGCCUUGUUUCCAGAGGGCCUAAAGGUCUGUGGCUGAAUGUUCUGCCCCUCCCUCUGGGCCAGAGCAGGUGCUCAUGGAUUGCACACUUGGAGAGCAGUCUCCACUGCUGAGAGGAGGCCUCACCUGUGUUGGAUUCCUGGUGCUUUUCCCGAGACCGCCUUUUCUUCUUCCCCUGCAGGGAACAGAGGGACGGAUUCUGCUCAGAUCUGGGAGGUGGUCCUUUGAGAACUCCAGAAUGCUGCAGCUAAGAGAAACAUGUUUAAGGACUUCUCAGCCCCUCCCCUGUUGGUUCAAAACAAUCUUUGUUCCCCACCUUAUCCAUUCCCUCCUGCUUCUAAGGAGUGUACGACUCUUGCUAUUGGGGUUGUGAGUUCACGCCCCACACUGGGUGAAGAGAUUACUUAAAUAAAUAAACUUAAAAAAACAAAA
This is a long non-coding RNA of Mustela lutreola (European mink), 1533 nucleotides long. RefSeq lists it as uncharacterized. The record is from RefSeq and is a predicted model, not a curated record. The transcript has 2 exons. Lineage: Eukaryota; Metazoa; Chordata; Mammalia; Carnivora; Mustelidae.